AGAGUUUGAUCCUGGCUCAGGAUGAACGCUAGCGGCAGGCUUAACACAUGCAAGUCGAGGGGCAGCACAGGUAGCAAUACUGGGUGGCGACCGGCAAACGGGUGCGGAACACGUACGCAAUCUACCGUUAUCUGGGGCAUAGCCCGGAGAAAUCCGGAUUAACUCCCCAUAAUAUAACUGAGUGGCAUCACUUGAUUAUU
Molecule: ribosomal RNA, 200 nt
Filed under: uncultured bacterium
Lineage: Bacteria
Description: partial 16S ribosomal RNA
Rfam family: Bacterial small subunit ribosomal RNA
Source: RNAcentral